UGAACCGCAUGGUUCAGACAUAAAAGGUGGCUUCGGCUACCACUUACAGAUGGACCCGCGGCGCAUUAGCUAGUUGGUGAGGUAACGGCUCACCAAGGCGACGAUGCGUAGCCGACCUGAGAGGGUGAUCGGCCACACUGGGACUGAGACACGGCCCAGACUCCUACGGGAGGCAGCAGUAGGGAAUCUUCCGCAAUGGACGAAAGUCUGACGGAGCAACGCCGCGUGAGUGAUGAAGGUUUUCGGAUCGUAAAGCUCUGUUGUUAGGGAAGAACAAGUGCCGUUCAAAUAGGGCGGCACCUUGACGGUACCUAACCAGAAAGCCACGGCUAACUACGUG
Molecule: ribosomal RNA, 340 nt
Filed under: uncultured bacterium
Lineage: Bacteria
Description: bacterial SSU rRNA
Rfam family: Bacterial small subunit ribosomal RNA
Source: RNAcentral